Molecule: long non-coding RNA, 907 nt
Filed under: Phoenix dactylifera (date palm)
Lineage: Eukaryota; Viridiplantae; Streptophyta; Magnoliopsida; Arecales; Arecaceae
Description: long non-coding RNA (PDAC_LNC017135)
Source: RNAcentral
AUUCAAACUCUCCAUCAUAGCACUUCUUUUAGUAACACUUGCCACUCCAAAACAAUCUGGGUACAAGAGUCGGGAUCCACGUUAUAUGGUGUCUUGUCAUCAGUCAUAUGGGAUAUUCUGGAAAUAUGAAGAACAAAUCACUUAAUUAAGCAUGGUGCAACAAUACUGAAGAUUCAUGGCUUUGACAUUUGACAAAAUGAGUGUAGUGCCUUGUAUUAGGUCAAUAAGUCUACUGAAUAUGCAAAGCCUAUCAGUUGCCAAGGGCUCGAAUUAAAAAUUUUGAUUUAGUGACCGAACCCCAUAUAUAUAACUCAUUUCCACCUCGCAACUAAGCUUCAGUAAUAAUUUAUUUCAAGCUGACAUGCAUGAUGACUUCAGCAGCGGUUGGUCAAAGAGGCGUACGUAGAAUAACAACCUGGCUUUCCCUAAAAAAUGUUCUUAAGAAUUGUUUGAACACGAAGCCACCUAAAGGAUUGCACAAGGCACCGUGGCAUGGCAUGCUCAAUUUGAUGAGUAUCAGUUUCGAUUCUUAUCAUUCUCCGAUUCGACAAAGUAUGGCUUCACUCUCUGCCAUGCUUCAUGCUUCAUGAAGUCUUCAAUAUAAAUCUUUGUUAAAACAUCAUUUGCAGCUGAACUCUUGUGUCCUGGCAAUAAUAUGACUUAUAAAUCAAGCAAUUAAGAAAGUCAAAGUUUUCAUGCGGGUCAACCAUGGUCUUGGUGAUUCCAUCUGCCAUAAAACAUAAGCAUGACCAAAACAAAAUGGUGUAUUAGUAUUUUGUGAUAUCUCUAAAAGCCAUAUAUCAGGUAUAAGUUUUUUUAAAAAAUUAAAUAAAAUAGCAAUUGAAAGCAACGGUUGGUGAAAAUAUAUACAAAGUAAAUGACGGAAAGCCAAGAGACAAAAAGUUUA